RNAcentral lists this ribosomal RNA (253 nucleotides) under uncultured bacterium. RNAcentral describes it as "partial 16S ribosomal RNA". It matches the Rfam family "Bacterial small subunit ribosomal RNA", at positions 524 to 776 of the family's 1533-position model. The record is from RNAcentral.
UACGUAGGGUGCAAGCGUUAAUCGGAAUUACUGGGCGUAAAGCGUGCGCAGGCGGUUUUGUAAGUCUGUUGUGAAAUCCCCGGGCUUAACCUGGGAAUUGCAAUGGAGACUGCAAGGCUGGAAUCUGGCAGAGGGGGGUAGAAUUCCACGUGUAGCAGUGAAAUGCGUAGAGAUGCGGAGGAACACCGAUGGCGAAGGCAGCCCCCUGGGCUAACACUGACGCUCAGGCACGAAAGCGUGGGGAGCAAACAGG